Molecule: ribosomal RNA, 1237 nt
Filed under: Escherichia coli
Lineage: Bacteria; Pseudomonadati; Pseudomonadota; Gammaproteobacteria; Enterobacterales; Enterobacteriaceae
Description: partial 23S ribosomal RNA
Rfam family: Bacterial large subunit ribosomal RNA
Source: RNAcentral
GGGUUGUGAGGUUAAGCGACUAAGCGUACACGGUGGAUGCCCUGGCAGUCAGAGGCGAUGAAGGACGUGCUAAUCUGCGAUAAGCGUCGGUGAGGUGAUAUGAACCGUUAUAACCGGCGAUUUCCGAAUGGGGAAACCCAGUGUGUUUCGACACACUAUCAUUAACUGAAUCCAUAGGUUAAUGAGGCGAACCGGGGGAACUGAAACAUCUAAGUACCCCGAGGAAAAGAAAUCAACCGAGAUUCCCCCAGUAGCGGCGAGCGAACGGGGAGGAGCCCAGAGCCUGAAUCAGUGUGUGUGUUAGUGGAAGCGUCUGGAAAGGCGCGCGAUACAGGGUGACAGCCCCGUACACAAAAAUGCACAUAUUGUGAGCUCGAUGAGUAGGGCGGGACACGUGGUAUCCUGUCUGAAUAUGGGGGGACCAUCCUCCAAGGCUAAAUACUCCUGACUGACCGAUAGUGAACCAGUACCGUGAGGGAAAGGCGAAAAGAACCCCGGCGAGGGGAGUGAAAAAGAACCUGAAACCGUGUACGUACAAGCAGUGGGAGCCUCUUAAUGGGGUGACUGCGUACCUUUUGUAUAAUGGGUCAGCGACUUAUAUUCUGUAGCAAGGUUAACCGAAUAGGGGAGCCGAAGGGAAACCGAGUCUUAACUGGGCGUUAAGUUGCAGGGUAUAGACCCGAAACCCGGUGAUCUAGCCAUGGGCAGGUUGAAGGUUGGGUAACACUAACUGGAGGACCGAACCGACUAAUGUUGAAAAAUUAGCGGAUGACUUGUGGCUGGGGGUGAAAGGCCAAUCAAACCGGGAGAUAGCUGGUUCUCCCCGAAAGCUAUUUAGGUAGCGCCUCGUGAAUUCAUCUCCGGGGGUAGAGCACUGUUUCGGCAAGGGGGUCAUCCCGACUUACCAACCCGAUGCAAACUGCGAAUACCGGAGAAUGUUAUCACGGGAGACACACGGCGGGUGCUAACGUCCGUCGUGAAGAGGGAAACAACCCAGACCGCCAGCUAAGGUCCCAAAGUCAUGGUUAAGUGGGAAACGAUGUGGGAAGGCCCAGACAGCCAGGAUGUUGGCUUAGAAGCAGCCAUCAUUUAAAGAAAGCGUAAUAGCUCACUGGUCGAGUCGGCCUGCGCGGAAGAUGUAACGGGGCUAAACCAUGCACCGAAGCUGCGGCAGCGACGCUUAUGCGUUGUUGGGUAGGGGAGCGUUCUGUAAGCCUGUGAAGGUGUGCUGUGAGGC